This 425-nucleotide ribosomal RNA is filed under the name uncultured bacterium. Its description in RNAcentral is "partial 16S ribosomal RNA". It matches the Rfam family "Bacterial small subunit ribosomal RNA", at positions 354 to 796 of the family's 1533-position model. The record is from RNAcentral.
GUGGGGAAUCUUGCGCAAUGGGCGAAAGCCUGACGCAGCCAUGCCGCGUGAAUGAUGAAGGUCUUAGGAUUGUAAAAUUCUUUCACCGGGGACGAUAAUGACGGUACCCGGAGAAGAAGCUCCGGCUAACUUCGUGCCAGCAGCCGCGGUAAUACGAAGGGGGCUAGCGUUGCUCGGCAUUACUGGGCGUAACGGGCGCGUAGGCUGACAGCUUAGUCAGAGGUGAAAGCCCAGUGCUCAACCUUGGAAUUGGCUUUGAUACUGGCUGUCUUGAGUUUGGGAGAGGUUAGUGGAACUCCGAGUGUAGAGGUGAAAUUCGUAAAUAUUCGGAAGAACACCAGUGGCGAAGGCGACUCACUGGCCCAAUACUGACGCUGAGGCGCGAAAGCGUGGGGAGCAAACAGGAUUAGAUACCCGGGUAGUCC